Molecule: ribosomal RNA, 702 nt
Filed under: uncultured bacterium
Lineage: Bacteria
Description: bacterial SSU rRNA
Rfam family: Bacterial small subunit ribosomal RNA
Source: RNAcentral
GAGUUUGAUCCUGGCUCAGGAUGAACGCUGGCGGCGUGCCUAAUACAUGCAAGUAGAACGCUGAAGUCUGGUGCUUGCACUAGACGGAUGAGUUGCGAACGGGUGAGAAACGCGUAGGUAACCUGCCUCAUAGCGGGGGAUAACUAUUGGAAACGAUAGCUAAUACCGCAUAACAGUAUUUACUGCAUGGUAGAUACUUGAAAGGAGCAAUUGCUUCACUAUGAGAUGGACCUGCGUUGUAUUAGCUAGCUGGUGAGGUAACGGCUCACCAAGGCAUCGAUACAUAGCCGACCUGAGAGGGUGAUCGGCCACACUGGGACUGAGACACGGCCCAGACUCCUACGGGAGGCAGCAGUAGGGAAUCUUCGGCAAUGGGGGCAACCCUGACCGAGCAACGCCGCGUGAGUGAAGAAGGUUUUCGGAUCGUAAAGCUCUGUUGUAAGAGAAGAACUGUGAGAAGAGUGGAAAGUUUCUCACUUGACGGUAUCUUACCAGAAAGGGACGGCUAACUACGUGCCAGCAGCCGCGGUAAUACGUAGGUCCCAAGCGUUGUCCGGAUUUAUUGGGCGUAAAGCGAGCGCAGGCGGUUUGAUAAGUCUGAAGUAAAAGGCUGUGGCUUAACCAUAGUACGCUUUGGAAACUGUCAAACUUGAGUGCAGAAGGGGAGAGUGGAAUUCCAUGUGUAGCGGUGAAAUGCGUAGA